GAUGAACGCUGGCGGCGUGCCUAAUACAUGCAGGUCGAGCGAACAGACGAGGAUCUUGCUCCUCUGACGUUACCGGCGGACGGGUGAGUAACACGUAACUAACCUACCUAUAAGACUGGGAUAACUUCGGGAAACCGGAGCUAAUACCAUAUAAUAUAUAGAACCGCAUAUUUCAAUAGUGAAAAACAGUUUUGCUAUCAAUUAUAGCUUGAUCCGCGCCGCAUUGAGUAGUUGGUAAGGUAACAGCUUACCAAGGCAACGAUGCGUAGCCGACCUGAGAGGGUGAUCGGCCACACUGGAACUGAGAUACGGUACAGGGUCAUAGGGGAGGCACCAGUAGGGAAUCUUCAGGCAUGAGCGAAAGCUUGACGGAGCAACGCCGAGUGAGUGAUGAAGGUCUUCGGAUCGUAAAACGCUGUUUUUAGGGAAGUAAAAAUGUGUAAGUAACUAUGAACGUCUUGACGGUACCUACACAGAAAGUCACGGCUAAAUACGUG
This 497-nucleotide ribosomal RNA is filed under the name uncultured bacterium. Its description in RNAcentral is "partial 16S ribosomal RNA". It matches the Rfam family "Bacterial small subunit ribosomal RNA", at positions 28 to 507 of the family's 1533-position model. The record is from RNAcentral.